AACGAACGCUGGCGGCAUGCCUAACACAUGCAAGUCGAACGAGACCUUCGGGUCUAGUGGCGCACGGGUGCGUAACGCGUGGUAACCUGCCCUUAGGUUCGGAAUAACUCCCCGAAAGGGGUGCUAAUACCGGAUAAUGUCUUCGGACCAAAGAUUUAUCGCCUUUGGAUGAGCCCGCGUUGGAUUAGCUAGUUGGUAGGGUAAAAGCCUACCAAGGCGACGAUCCAUAGCUGGUCUGAGAGGAUGAUCAGCCACACUGGGACUGAGACACGGCCCAGACUCCUACGGGAGGCAGCAGUGGGGAAUAUUGGACAAUGGGCGAAAGCCUGAUCCAGCAAUGCCGCGUGAGUGAUGAAGGCCUUAGGGUUGUAAAGCUCUUUUACCCGGGAUGAUAAUGACAGUACCGGGAGAAUAAGCUCCGGCUAACUCCGUG
This 433-nucleotide ribosomal RNA is filed under the name uncultured bacterium. Its description in RNAcentral is "partial 16S ribosomal RNA". It matches the Rfam family "Bacterial small subunit ribosomal RNA", at positions 29 to 507 of the family's 1533-position model. The record is from RNAcentral.